This 254-nucleotide ribosomal RNA is filed under the name uncultured bacterium. RNAcentral's name for it is "partial 16S ribosomal RNA". It matches the Rfam family "Bacterial small subunit ribosomal RNA", at positions 524 to 776 of the family's 1533-position model. The record is from RNAcentral.
UACGUAGGGGGCAAGCGUUGUCCGGAUUUAUUGGGCGUAAAGAGCGUGUAGGCGGCCUGAAAGGUCGGUUGUGAAAACUGGAUGGCUCAACCUCCAGACGUCGACCGAAACCAUCAGGCUAGAGUCCGGAAGAGGAGAAUGGAAUUCCUGGUGUAGCGGUGAAAUGCGCAGAUAUCAGGAAGAACACCCGUGGCGAAGGCGGUUCUCUGGGACGGUACUGACGCUGAGACGCGAAAGCGUGGGGAGCGAACAGG